Homo sapiens (human) is the source of this 1004-nucleotide long non-coding RNA. The record is from Ensembl. Lineage: Eukaryota; Metazoa; Chordata; Mammalia; Primates; Hominidae.
ACAGCGUCAGAGGCGGGGACGCGCGCUGGUCUAUUUUUGGGCAUCCGGAUGGCGACUGCGGGAAAUCGAGUUCUCAUGCUGGGGCGAAAGGACCGUCCGCCCGCUCGGAAGAGGCGAAUCUCCCACGGCAGACGUCUGGGUGUGCGAAUGCCAGUUGAGCGGGGCCUCGAGGACGCGUCACACACAGCGAGGAUUUGAGGAGGGAAGCGCCUUCCAGAGCUUCAGAGAAGAGGCAGAAGUGUGCAAACAGGAGCAGGUCCAAGAUUUGCAUGGCCAGAAGCAAUUCUUGAUCCUCUUGGCUAGAUUCGAAGAUUUGGCCACCUCCAGACGCUACCACACUCUGGGACAGUGGGAGAUUUGGAACAGCUUUGAGAAGAGCAAGGUGAGCUGGGACUUCCUGGAGCAGGCUGCCCAGGAAAAGCCAUUCCAUGGCAGAACUUGCGAGGGUGAGGUCGAGGGUUAAGGGAUAAGCGGGCAGAGGGUAGAAAUCCAAUUGGGCUAUUCCUAAAGCAUCCCCAGUCGCUUGGUUUUCCACUCUUCACCGAUGCUGCACUAAUGCCACGUAGGUCCAUCCCCGCAUAUGACACCAGGGAUUUUAUUCUGACCUCACAAGAUCCCAGGAUGAUGGCUCACAAAGGGCUUCCCUGGUUAUUUACUUCUGACUCUUGAAAGCUUAAAGAAAUUGUGCCUGAGAGGUUCAGUACCUUGUCCAGGGACACCCAGUUUGUGCAGAGCCGGGAGGAAAACACAGUUCAGUUCACUGUCACAGGUGAGUCACCAAAAACAUCCUAUAAAAAGACCUUUUGAGAAACUGUAACCCCGUUAAAACUAGUUAAAAAUUCUUGCCUUAAAGCAUUCCAUAUUCAUUUUACUUGGCUUUCUGUGGAUUUUCUCCCAUGAGAGACAAGCAGUAUUAAUCGGAAAACGGUUAAGUGGUGCAGCCUGAGUGUUUUGCUGUGUUAAUUUUAAUAAAAGAACAGUGCCUUAUCCUUCAAGUACUUUAA